Molecule: small RNA, 125 nt
Filed under: Marmota monax (woodchuck)
Lineage: Eukaryota; Metazoa; Chordata; Mammalia; Rodentia; Sciuridae
Source: RNAcentral
GCCGGGCGUGGUGGCACACGCCUGUAAUCCCAUCAACUUGGGAGGCAGAGGCAGGAGGAUUGUAAGUUCAAAGCCAGCCUUAGCAAAAGCAAGGCACUAAGCAACUCAGUGAGACCCUGUCUCUA